Long non-coding RNA from Triticum aestivum (bread wheat), 2869 nucleotides. RefSeq lists it as uncharacterized. The record is from RefSeq and is a predicted model, not a curated record. The transcript is spliced from 6 exons. Lineage: Eukaryota; Viridiplantae; Streptophyta; Magnoliopsida; Poales; Poaceae.
UCCUCCUCCACCCCGCGCUCUUUUCCCCAAAACCAACCACCACCCCCGCCACCUCGCCGGAAAACAACAAAUCCGCCGUCGCCCGCUGCCACCGCACCACCUCGCGGGAACCCUACCUGAAGCAGAAUCCGGCCAGCCUAUCCGCCUUUCUGCACUCCCAGUCCCUCUCCGCCACGCCCAAGCAUCCCCCGAGGAACCCGCGCUCGUCUUCUUGGUCGGUGGCUCGGUGGUAAUGGCCAAAAAGAAGAAGGCGGCCCGGAACCGGGGCAGGAAUCGUGCGGGCAUGGAGGCGGAGACGGAGGGUUCAGCUGGGCGCGCGCCCCACUUCCACGGACACGGCGCCCCCUUUGACGUCCGCCGCGGCCAAGAAAACGGAGCCCACCCUGGGGGCGCCCGCGCCGGCCAAGAAGCUAUCCCGCCCCAUGGCACAGCACAGAAGAUUGUUGAGCUCCUACGCCGGGCAGAGGCUUUCCUGGGGAGGAACGGCAGCGCCGGCGACGAUACGUCGGACGCCUCCAGCAGCGCCGGCAAUGGCGGCGUGGAGGCUCUGGUGGGCGAACGCUCGCGGGAUCAGCUUCGUGGGCACCAAGGCAAUCACCCACCGCCCAAGCAUCCUACACGGGGUCAGGCUAUUCUGUACACCUUUGGCAACCUGGACAUGAAUAAGAGACACUCUGCCGAGAAGGAAGCGCCCUGAUGUUUUCCUCCGGCUCCUAUUUAUCCAGUUGACAAGGAUGAAGAUCCUUACCAGAAUGAGAGGAGGUAUGAAGAGUUUUGUGAAGCUAGAAUGAAGCUUCCACUCGGAUAUGAGUUGUGCACUGUAUGUUUUUUUUAAGAGCCCUGGAGACAUGGAAAUGCAGUAGUACGUUCUGGGAAUAUGCUCUAUCAUUUCAAUUGCCACAACACUCCAGGUGUCAAAUGUGGUGAAGAAUUAUGUACGGUUAGGUUCCGCAGCUGUGAACGUCAGCAGUUAUACAGAUCCUAUUGCACAAGUAUUUGGGAGACCAAGCCAGAGUUGCGGUAUGACAGGUUUUGUCGAGGUAGGGUGUAGUACAAUCUGUUGGGAAGAUUUGCAGCAGCUAAAGGUGUCUGCAAGUAUGGCCUGAGAUUGAAGAACCACAUGGUGUGCUAAUAAAAGCUACAAAGAGAUGAACUAUUGUAUGCUUUUGUUGGAUGAUGGGUUGACAUGUCGUGUGAGAGUGAUGUCAAACGACAAACUGUGAGCCUAGUGCGAUCAUGUUGUUGAGAAAAUGGUUUUCUUGGAUGAUGUUCUGCAACUACUGUGGAAGUUAUCUUUACUUUGAUCGAUCGAAAUGUGUUUGCUAGAAUGUUAUUCACAUGGGAGGAGAUGGUAACAAGCGUCGGUUUGAUCAUGGUGACAUUCACUUAUUGGUUAUGAGUUUUACAUGUGUAUCACGUGGUCACAGUUUACCGUAGGUUUGACUGUUUCUAGGAGAGUUGUUGAGGAUGGGUAUUUCUGUUUAAGGUCAGCUUGGGGCGAAACCUGCAGGACGUGGUAAGAAGUGCCAAGGAAGUAUCCUGUGUUUUCUUUACUGAUCAUCCAUUCAUCCUGAUGCCGUCCUGUGGACAUGUGGUAGCAUGUGAUUCUGUUUAAAAUCCCAGGAGGUGUCUUCUCCUCAGUUUCGUUUGGAAUAAUCAGAAGAUCACAUUUUUUUUCCGGUGUCUGCUGGCUUGAUAUGUGGAAAGCCAUCCAGUCUUAGUGAAUUGUUCGAGCGCUGGGUGAAUGGUUUCAGCAACAUAACUCAAAAACCAGUAUUGGUUGGGAUUUCAGUGGUUUGUAGGGGCUAUGUGGAACUGGGACACAAGAAAUGUCUUACUGUCAGCAUAUUUUAUACUCCCUCCGUUCCUAAAUACUUCUUUCUAGAGAUUUCAACAAGUGACUACAUACGGCGCAAAAUGAGUGAAUCUACAUUUUAAAAUAUGUCUACAUGCAUCCGUAUGUUGAGUCCAUUUGAAAUGCCUAGAAAGACAAGUAUUUGGGAACGGAGGGAGUACCUAAUUAUCCUAACACCGUCGUUCACUGUGUUUUCAGAUCAAUGCAUGCUUUGUAGGAGGAGCAAAUCAAUGAGAAGCCGCUGCUGAGAAUUUGGUGUGUGUGUUUGUUGGAUGGCAUCGACAGAUGCUUUCAAAAGAUGGGCUCCGGUGGCGAUGAGGAAACUUUGAGUUGGAUGACAGAAUUUUCGUACCUGCCCCACUUGUUUUCUUCCCCAUGUUCUUGUCGCAAUUUCAAUGAAUAUUACACCCUUCGAUCCAAAAUAAGUGCGCAGUUUCAAACUAAGAGUUAGUUGAACCUUAGUUUGAAACUGCGACACUUAUUACGGAUCGGAGGGAGUACUAUUUUGUCAAUGUUUCGCAUCUAACCUGAACUUGGUUUAGCUUCUGUAGGCUUGUCUGUCUGAUGCCUUCAUGUCGCUGUGAACUGAAGCUUGUUCUUUAUACGAGAAGAAGCAAGAAAAUAUGCCGACAGACAUUUGGAUUUCCUCCAUAGAUUUCAGAAUAGUAAUGGACCAUAAGUAGUCGUGUUCCCUACCGUCGGUAGACUGCUGAAGGAGCAAUGGUUAGCCUUGCAAGGGCGAUUCUGAGUUGCUUCUCCUCAAAAGACCGCUACUAGGAAGAAUAUAAACCCAAGGAAGAAACAGGCACGAAGAUAGCUCAUAUUCUGCCAAAUAGGAGCGAUGUGUCUCAAGAUGAAACUAGUAGAUAUGUCGAAACAAUAUACUCCCUCUGUCCCAUAAUAUAAGAGCAUUUUUUACACUAAUACGCUCUUAUAUUAUGUAUUUUAAGUAUCUUCUCUAGUGCUGCUUCUUGCUUGGUUCAUGUCUGAACUUUCCAUCGACAGAGGUUUUUG